This 664-nucleotide long non-coding RNA is filed under the name Mytilus galloprovincialis (Mediterranean mussel). Lineage: Eukaryota; Metazoa; Mollusca; Bivalvia; Mytilida; Mytilidae. The record is from RNAcentral.
GUUAAACGUGUCUAUGUGUCUUCCUGUUAUUGGAUUGGUAUUGGAAAUUUGAGUCGAGACAAAAUAAUUUAAAUUAGACAUGAUAUGUAAGAUGAUGUUUUGUAGUGCGAACAAGUCAAAUACGCAUUAAGAGUAUUAAAAUAUCCUUAAAUGUUCACUAAAUACUACUUGUCUUCCUGCACAUCUAAAGAUAAUAUAAAAUAAGGCGAUUGUAUUCGGCGACUUUGUAGAUGUAUUUUUUUCCACGUAAAAUUGCCACUUCAAGCUGAUCAUUUUUCUGCACUUCAAACACUUCCUGGAGAAUUAAUUGAUUGAUGAACUCUGUUCUUCUUCCAGGUAUACCAUAUAUUUUUUGACAGGUUUUUUGUUUUGUCCGUUUUAAAGUUAUGCAUGCGGCGAUCUUCAGUUUUUUAUGUUUGCUUCUAGUCGUAAGUGAUAAAUCUGCUUUUAACAUUCCACCAGUAGGCACAGAAAAGAAUCGAUGAUUGGUUACGUCAAAGGGAGAUGUUUGUGAAGUUGUUUUCCAUGUGUAUGAUUUUGUUUCAAAUUUUAAACUUUUGAAGUUGAGGUUGUAUGACCCAACGUACACUGUUGGUUUUGCAACUGUGCAAAACACCCAUAUCAGCAUAACUAAAGAUGUCAACUGAAUGACCGAACACUCCAU